UGGGGAAUCUUGGACAAUGGGGGCAACCCUGAUCCAGCGAUGCCGCGUGGGUGAAGAAGGCCUUCGGGUUGUAAAGCCCUUUAGGUUGGGACGAAGGAUAUUGCCUGAAUAAGGUGAUGUUUUGACGGUACCGACAGAAUAAGCACCGGCUAACCCUGUGCCAGCAGCCGCGGUAAUACAGAGGGUGCGAGCGUUAAUCGGAGUUACUGGGCGUAAAGGGUGCGUAGGCGGUUUAGUGUGAGAGAUGUGAAAGCCCCGGGCUUAACCUGGGAAGAGCAUCUUUAACUGCUGAACUAGAGUCCAUCAGAGGGUGGCGGAAUUUCCGGUGUAGCGGUGAAAUGCGUAGAGAUCGGAAGGAACGCCGGUGGCGAAGGUGGCCACCUGGGGUGAGACUGACGCUGAGGCACGAAAGCGUGGGGAGCGAACAGG
Molecule: ribosomal RNA, 429 nt
Filed under: uncultured bacterium
Lineage: Bacteria
Description: bacterial SSU rRNA
Rfam family: Bacterial small subunit ribosomal RNA
Source: RNAcentral